RNAcentral lists this ribosomal RNA (604 nucleotides) under Stumpffia gimmeli (Benavony stump-toed frog). RNAcentral describes it as "partial 16S ribosomal RNA". The stretch from base 30 to 146 matches the Rfam family "Bacterial large subunit ribosomal RNA", at positions 714 to 852 of the family's 2925-position model. The record is from RNAcentral. Lineage: Eukaryota; Metazoa; Chordata; Amphibia; Anura; Microhylidae.
CCAAGCAAAACGCACUUAAAGUUUGACACCCCGAAACUAAGCGAGCUACUCUAAAACAGCCCACAGAGCCAACUCAUCCCUGUUGCAAAAGAGUGAGAAGAUUUUAAAGUAGAGGUGAUACACCUACCGAGCCUAGAGAUAGCUGGUUAUUCAAAAGACGGAUCUAAGUCCAACUUUAAGUUUUCCCAAUUUUAUUAAAUAAUUACUAAACUUAAAAGCCAUUCAAAUAAGGUACAGCCUAUUUGAACAAGGAUACAACCUAUAAUAUUGGGUAAUGUAUAUUAACAUGACCAAGUAGACCUAAAAGCAGCCAUCUUUAAAAAAGCGCCCAAGCUUCCCCACUAAAUAUUCUAAUACCACCACUAAUCCACAACCCCCAAUCACUACUGAAUGACCCCAUAACUGUAUGGAAGACACCAUGCUAGAACUAGUAACAAGAAGACGAACUUCUCCACAAUGUAAACGUAAGCCAUAAUAAACCUCUUGCUGGCACUUAUUCGCUAUAAUCUACAGUAUAUUUUUACAAGAAAGUUCUACUAAUUCAAGCGCUAACCUUACACCAGAACAUUACUGGAAAGAUUAAAAGAGAAGGAAGGAACUCGGC